RNAcentral lists this ribosomal RNA (753 nucleotides) under Bacillus subtilis. Its description in RNAcentral is "bacterial SSU rRNA". It matches the Rfam family "Bacterial small subunit ribosomal RNA", at positions 56 to 790 of the family's 1533-position model. The record is from RNAcentral. Lineage: Bacteria; Bacillati; Bacillota; Bacilli; Caryophanales; Bacillaceae.
UGCAGUCGAGCGGACAGAUGGGAGCUUGCUCCCCUGAUGUUAGCGGCGGACGGGUGAGUAACACGUGGGUAACCUGCCUGUAAGACUGGGAUAACUCCGGGAAACCGGGGCUAAUACCGGAUGGUUGUUUGAACCGCAUGGUUCAAACAUAAAAGGUGGCUUCGGCUACCACUUACAGAUGGACCCGCGGCGCAUUAGCUAGUUGGUGAGGUAACGGCUCACCAAGGCAACGAUGCGUAGCCGACCUGAGAGGGUGAUCGGCCACACUGGGACUGAGACACGGCCCAGACUCCUACGGGAGGCAGCAGUAGGGAAUCUUCCGCAAUGGACGAAAGUCUGACGGAGCAACGCCGCGUGAGUGAUGAAGGUUUUCGGAUCGUAAAGCUCUGUUGUUAGGGAAGAACAAGUACCGUUCGAAUAGGGCGGUACCUUGACGGUACCUAACCAGAAAGCCACGGCUAACUACGUGCCAGCAGCCGCGGUAAUACGUAGGUGGCAAGCGUUGUCCGGAAUUAUUGGGCGUAAAGGGCUCGCAGGCGGUUUCUUAAGUCUGAUGUGAAAGCCCCCGGCUCAACCGGGGGAGGGUCAUUGGAAACUGGGGAACUUGAGUGCAGAAGAGGAGAGUGGAAUUCCACGUGUAGCGGUGAAAUGCGUAGAGAUGUGGAGGAACACCAGUGGCGAAGGCGACUCUCUGGUCUGUAACUGACGCUGAGGAGCGAAAGCGUGGGGAGCGAACAGGAUUAGAUACCCUGG